CCAAAAUCAACCAACUUCAU
Molecule: microRNA, 20 nt
Filed under: Corchorus capsularis
Lineage: Eukaryota; Viridiplantae; Streptophyta; Magnoliopsida; Malvales; Malvaceae
Description: sRNA CCACVL1_06530
Source: RNAcentral